Molecule: long non-coding RNA, 340 nt
Filed under: Elaeis guineensis (African oil palm)
Lineage: Eukaryota; Viridiplantae; Streptophyta; Magnoliopsida; Arecales; Arecaceae
Description: long non-coding RNA (EGUI_LNC016107)
Source: RNAcentral
ACGUGUCAGAAAGAUGAUAAGCGAAAUCAUGCUCUAUCUAUUGGCAAGAAAGAAACCUAUCUGAGAUUUUUUUUUUUUUUUAAGGAGACAGAUUAUAACUAGCGCUUAACUCGAUAGAAGAAGGAUCCUUUUUUUGCCUACUCCCAAAUCUUAGUAGUUGAAUGCUGUCCCUAUUUCUGAGCGACUCUUUAUUUUAUCUCUGCCCAAACUCUGGUCAAAUUCUGAACUAGAUUGGGAUAAGUAAAGGAUCACAGAGAAGAUAAUGAAUAUAGUUAUCUGUUUUUGGUGAGAGCAGUUGUCAGCAUAGAUUCCAAAAGAAGGCUCGAAUCAGAGUCCAGGA